RNAcentral lists this ribosomal RNA (99 nucleotides) under Citrobacter freundii. The record is from RNAcentral. RNAcentral also lists the same sequence under 72 other names. Lineage: Bacteria; Pseudomonadati; Pseudomonadota; Gammaproteobacteria; Enterobacterales; Enterobacteriaceae.
GGUGGUCCCACCUGACCCCAUGCCGAACUCAGAAGUGAAACGCCGUAGCGCCGAUGGUAGUGUGGGGUCUCCCCAUGUGAGAGUAGGGAACUGCCAGGC